Molecule: small nuclear RNA, 83 nt
Filed under: Vulpes vulpes (red fox)
Lineage: Eukaryota; Metazoa; Chordata; Mammalia; Carnivora; Canidae
Source: RNAcentral
GUGCUCGCUUUGGCAGCACAUACAGAGAAGAUCCGCUCCUGUGCAAGCAUGACACACAGAUUUUUGAAACUUUCCAUAUUUUU